This 468-nucleotide ribosomal RNA is filed under the name uncultured bacterium. Its description in RNAcentral is "partial 16S ribosomal RNA". It matches the Rfam family "Bacterial small subunit ribosomal RNA", at positions 28 to 507 of the family's 1533-position model. The record is from RNAcentral.
GACGAACGCUGGCGGCGUGCUUAACACAUGCAAGUCGAACGGAAAGGCCCUGCUUUUGUGGGGUGCUCGAGUGGCGAACGGGUGAGUAACACGUGAGUAACCUGCCCUUGACUUUGGGAUAACUUCAGGAAACUGGGGCUAAUACCGGAUAGGAGCUCCUGCUGCAUGGUGGGGGUUGGAAAGUUUCGGCGGUUGGGGCUGGACUCGCGGCUUAUCAGCUUGUUGGUGGGAUAGUGGCUUACCAAGGCUUUGACGGGUAGCCGGCCUGAGAGGGUGACCGGCCACAUUGGGACUGAGAUACGGCCCAGACUCCUACGGGAGGCAGCAGUGGGGAAUAUUGCACAAUGGGCGGAAGCCUGAUGCAGCAACGCCGCGUGCGGGAUGACGGCCUUCGGGCUGUAAACCGCUUUCGCCUGUGACGAAGCGUGAGUGACGGUAAUGGGUAAAGAAGCACCGGCUAACUACGUG